CAGCCGCCGCGGGAAUACGGAGGAUCCAAGCGUUAUCCGGAAUCAUUGGGUUUAAAGGGUCCGUAGGCGGUCUUGUAAGUCAGUGGUGAAAGCCCAUCGCUCAACGGUGGAACGGCCAUUGAUACUGCAGGACUUGAAUUAUUGGGAAGUAACUAGAAUAUGUAGUGUAGCGGUGAAAUGCUUAGAGAUUACAUGGAAUACCAAUUGCGAAGGCAGGUUACUACCAAUUGAUUGACGCCGAUGGACGAAAGCGUGGGUAGCGAACAGGAUUAGAUACCCCCGUAGUCCCUGUCUCUUAUAA
This 301-nucleotide ribosomal RNA is filed under the name uncultured bacterium. Its description in RNAcentral is "partial 16S ribosomal RNA". It matches the Rfam family "Bacterial small subunit ribosomal RNA", at positions 509 to 809 of the family's 1533-position model. The record is from RNAcentral.